This 433-nucleotide ribosomal RNA is filed under the name uncultured bacterium. RNAcentral describes it as "partial 16S ribosomal RNA". It matches the Rfam family "Bacterial small subunit ribosomal RNA", at positions 29 to 507 of the family's 1533-position model. The record is from RNAcentral.
AACGAACGCUGGCGGCAUGCCUAACACAUGCAAGUCGAACGAGACCUUCGGGUCUAGUGGCGCACGGGUGCGUAACGCGUGGGAACCUGCCCUUAGGUUCGGAAUCACUCCCCGAAAGGGGUGCUAAUACCGGUUAAUGUCUUCGGACCAAAGAUUUAUCGCCUUUGGAUGGGCCCGCGUUGGAUUAGCUAGUUGGUAGGGUAAAAGCCUACCAAGGCGACGAUCCAUAGCUGGUCUGAGAGGAUGAUCAGCCACACUGGGACUGAGACACGGCCCAGACUCCUACGGGAGGCAGCAGUGGGGAAUAUUGGACGAUGGGCGAAAGCCUGAUCCAGCAAUGCCGCGUGAGUGAUGAAGGCCUUAGGGUUGUAAAGCUCUUUUACCCGGGAUGAUAAUGACAGUACCGGGAGAAUAAGCUCCGGCUAACUCCGUG